GAUGAACGCUGGCGGCGGGCCUAAUACAUGCAAGUCGAGCGAACAGAUGAGGAGCUUGCUCCCCUGACGUUGGCGCGGGACGGACGGGUAAGGAAUGCAUAGCAAUCUAUUAUUACGGGGUGAAUUCCGGAAAGCAGCUUCCACUACUGCUGCAUACUUCCACCGGCUGGAUGCAUGGGAUAAUCAGGCCUUGCUCGCUUGUAUGAGUCGAUGCCGGGCUGAAUAGUUUAGUUGGUAAGGUAACGGCUGACCAAGGCAACGAUGCGUAGCCGACCUGAGAGGGUGAUCGGCCACACUGGAACUGAGACACGGUCCAGACUCCUACGGGAGGCAGCAGUAGGGAAUCUUCCGCAAUGGGCGAAAGCCUGACGGAGCAACACCGCGUGAGUGAUGAAGGUCUUCGGAUCGUAAAGCUCUGUUGUUAGGGAAGAACAAAUGUGUGAGUAACUAUGCACGACUUGACGGUACCUAAUCAGAAAGCCCCGGCUAACUACGUG
Molecule: ribosomal RNA, 497 nt
Filed under: uncultured bacterium
Lineage: Bacteria
Description: partial 16S ribosomal RNA
Rfam family: Bacterial small subunit ribosomal RNA
Source: RNAcentral